UACGGAGGAUCCAAGCGUUAUCCGGAUUCAUUGGGUUUAAAGGGUGCGUAGGCGGAAUGAUAAGUCAGUGGUGAAAUCCUGCGGCUUAACUGCAGAACUGCCAUUGAUACUGUCAAUCUUGAGUAUAUUUGAUGUGGGCGGAAUGUGUCAUGUAGCGGUGAAAUGCUUAAAUAUGACACAGAACACCGAUUGCGAAGGCAGCUCACAAAACUAUAACUGACGCUGAGGCACGAAAGCGUGGGGAUCAAACAGG
This 253-nucleotide ribosomal RNA is filed under the name uncultured bacterium. Its description in RNAcentral is "partial 16S ribosomal RNA". It matches the Rfam family "Bacterial small subunit ribosomal RNA", at positions 524 to 776 of the family's 1533-position model. The record is from RNAcentral.